This 75-nucleotide transfer RNA is filed under the name Fulvivirga imtechensis AK7. It matches the Rfam family "tRNA". From Rfam's summary of the family: Transfer RNA (tRNA) molecules are approximately 80 nucleotides in length. Their secondary structure includes four short double-helical elements and three loops (D, anti-codon, and T loops). Lineage: Bacteria; Pseudomonadati; Bacteroidota; Cytophagia; Cytophagales; Fulvivirgaceae. The record is from Rfam by way of RNAcentral.
GGGUUCUUAGCUCAGUUGGUUCAGAGCACCUGCUCGACAAGCAGGGGGUCGCUGGUUCGAGUCCAGUAGGACCCA